Molecule: long non-coding RNA, 466 nt
Organism: Myxocyprinus asiaticus (Chinese sucker)
Lineage: Eukaryota; Metazoa; Chordata; Actinopteri; Cypriniformes; Catostomidae
Exons: 3
Source: RefSeq, a predicted model, not a curated record
GUGAGGAGAUCCAGAGCAGCCAGAACCACAUGACUCUGAUUAAUCUCAGGCUGAUCACACUGAGAAUUCAGUGACAGUAGAUCAAGUGCUCUUCAGCAGAAAUCGUUGUGCUUACUGAAAUUCAAAUCAUUGCCCCCAAUGGCCGAAGCUAGAAAUGUUGUUGAACUUAUGGAUGGGCAUGUGCGAGCUUCAGUUUCUGCGUGAAUAGUCAAAAUAGUGGUGCCAAAAAUGUGCUAACGUGGCAACCACCACCCCACCACCACCAGUUGAGUCCCGUCCUGCACGGGGAUAGGCUCCUCGCCCCUGCCUCCUAACGCCGGCAGGAUAUGACGGUUCCGAGUACAACUCCUUCGGACUGCCAGACGGGGCUUACGCCAAAGAGAGACAUUACAUUUCUGUUUUAUAUUCAUCAAAUAAAUGUAAUCUUAAAAUUCACUCAAGUCUGCGAGUCUUCCUGAUAGAAAUG